Molecule: long non-coding RNA, 656 nt
Organism: Thalassophryne amazonica
Lineage: Eukaryota; Metazoa; Chordata; Actinopteri; Batrachoidiformes; Batrachoididae
Exons: 3
Source: RefSeq, a predicted model, not a curated record
UCUUCACCUCCGCCGCCUCAGGAUAACUAUAGAUGGCCCACUGUUUCGGCCUGUCAUGAUGUCACCAUUUCACCACAUACCCAUCAAACACAAAUUAGGACAGCAUGUUUGCUUGCCUCAUAACGCUGAUUGAGGAGGUGAAAGAGACUCAGAAAAUCCAAGGGAGGAUCCUACAAACACUACUACAACAGCAUGGCAACGUUGGGACUACAGUUUCUUCUAUUCCAGAAGGGUUCCCCCUAAAGGCAGUUCGUGAUGUUGAAAUCAUGGAAGAAAAGCUGGCAAACCCAGAUUUCAUGUCCGAAGUGGUUGCAGCUGUGGCUGACAUGGGGGGGCAACUGUUGACGAGGCCACAAGAAGAAUGAUGACCUUCCUCCUAGACCAUGGCCUAGCCAGGCAGUAUAACUUUGAGGCUUGAAGAAAACUCCUUGACAAGCCACAUCACCUGUAAAGAUGUUGAGAAGGCCGUGUCUAAGUGGCUCAUAGGUGCUCGGAUCGAGGUGGGGGGGGGGGUAAUAGGCCCGACAGGCAACCCCUCAAUGAAGACUUCAGGCUUCAGCCUCACUUGAGGUGGACAGUAACCAAUUCUGUCUGUGACACUUUGUGUUGACCUUGUAGAGACAUUACAGGACAUUCAUGUCUCAUGUUCUCAGCCU